AUUGAACGCUGGCGGCAGGCCUAACACAUGCAAGUCGAGCGGAUGAGAAGAGCUUGCUCUUCGAUUCAGCGGCGGACGGGUGAGUAAUGCCUAGGAAUCUGCCUGGUAGUGGGGGACAACGUUUCGAAAGGAACGCUAAUACCGCAUACGUCCUACGGGAGAAAGCAGGGGACCUUCGGGCCUUGCGCUAUCAGGUGAGCCUAGGUCGGAUUAGCUAGUUGGUAAGGUAAUGGCGCACAAAGGCGACGAGCCGGAACGGGUCUGAUAGGAUGAUCAGUCACACUGGAACUGAGACACGGUCCAGACUCCUACGGGAGGCAGCAGUGGGGAAUAUUGGACAAUGGGCGAAAGCCUGAUCCAGCCAUGCCGCGUGUGUGAAGAAGGUCUUCGGAUUGUAAAGCACUUUAAGUUGGGAGGAAGGGCAGUAGUUAAUACCUUGCUGUUUUGACGUUACCGACAGAAUAAGCACCGGCUAACUCUGUGCCAGCCGCCGCCGUAA
This 499-nucleotide ribosomal RNA is filed under the name uncultured bacterium. RNAcentral's name for it is "partial 16S ribosomal RNA". It matches the Rfam family "Bacterial small subunit ribosomal RNA", at positions 30 to 523 of the family's 1533-position model. The record is from RNAcentral.